RNAcentral lists this ribosomal RNA (435 nucleotides) under uncultured organism. Its description in RNAcentral is "bacterial SSU rRNA". It matches the Rfam family "Bacterial small subunit ribosomal RNA", at positions 8 to 487 of the family's 1533-position model. The record is from RNAcentral.
AGAGUUUGAUCGUGGCUCAGAGCGAACGCUGGCGGCAGGCUUAACACAUGCAAGUCGAACGGGCUUCUUCGGAAGUCAGUGGCAGACGGGUGAGUAACACGUGGGAACGUGCCCUUCGGUUCGGAAUAACUCAGGGAAACUUGAGCUAAUACCGGAUACGCCCUUUUGGGGAAAGGUUGACUGCCGAAGGAUCGGCCCGCGUCUGAUUAGCUUGUUGGUGGGGUAACGGCCUACCAAGGCGACGAUCAGUAGCUGGUCUGAGGGGAUGAUCAGCCACACUGGGACUGAGACACGGCCCAGACUCCUACGGGAGGCAGCAGUGGGGAAUAUUGGACAAUGGGCGCAAGCCUGAUCCAGCCAUGCCGCGUGAGUGAUGAAGGCCUUAGGGUUGUAAAGCUCUUUUGUCCGGGACGAUAAUGACGGUACCGAAGAUUA